RNAcentral lists this ribosomal RNA (1100 nucleotides) under uncultured bacterium. Its description in RNAcentral is "bacterial SSU rRNA". It matches the Rfam family "Bacterial small subunit ribosomal RNA", at positions 36 to 1150 of the family's 1533-position model. The record is from RNAcentral.
CGGGGGGCGUGCUUACCAUACAGUCGAACGAUGAUCCCAGCUUGCUGGGGGAUUAGUGGCGAACGGGUGAGUAACACGUGAGUAACCUGCCCUUAACUCUGGGAUAAGCCUGGGAAACUGGGUCUAAUACCGGAUAUGACUCCUCAUCGCAUGGUGGGGGGUGGAAAGCUUUUUGUGGUUUUGGAUGGACUCGCGGCCUAUCAGCUUGUUGGUGAGGUAAUGGCUCACCAAGGCGACGACGGGUAGCCGGCCUGAGAGGGUGACCGGCCACACUGGGACUGAGACACGGCCCAGACCCCUACGGGAGGCAGCAGUGGGGAAUAUUGCGCAAUGGGCGAAAGCCUGAUGCAGCGACGCCGCGUGAGGGAUGACGGCCUUCGGGUUGUAAACCUCUUUCAGUAGGGAAGAAGCGAAAGUGACGGUACCUGCAGAAGAAGCGCCGGCUAACUACGUGCCAGCAGCCGCGGUAAUACGUAGGGCGCAAGCGUUAUCCGAAAUUAUUGGGCGUAAAGAGCUCGUAGGCGGUUUGUCGCGUCUGCCGUGAAAGUCCGGGGCUCAACUCCGGAUCUGCGGUGGGUACGGGCAGACUAGAGUGAUGUAGGGGAGACUGGAAUUCCUGGUGUAGCGGUGAAAUGCGCAGAUAUCAGGAGGAACACCGAUGGCGAAGGCAGGUCUCUGGGCAUUAACUGACGCUGAGGAGCGAAAGCAUGGGGAGCGAACAGGAUUAGAUACCCUGGUAGUCCAUGCCGUAAACGUUGGGCACUAGGUGUGGGGGACAUUCCACGUUUUCCGCGCCGUAGCUAACGCAUUAAGUGCCCCGCCUGGGGAGUACGGCCGCAAGGCUAAAACUCAAAGGAAUUGACGGGGGCCCGCACAAGCGGCGGAGCAUGCGGAUUAAUUCGAUGCAACGCGAAGAACCUUACCAAGGCUUGACAUGGACUGGAAAUACCUGGAAACAGGUGCCCCGCUUGCGGUCGGUUCACAGGUGGUGCAUGAUUGUCGUCAGCUCGUGUCGUGAGAUGUUGGGUUAAGUCCCGCAACGAGCGCAACCCUCGUUCUAUGUUGCCAGCGCGUUAUGGCCGGGGACUCAUAGGAAGACU